GAAAUUUUCCCUUUGUCUGUUGUUCUCUCUGGGCUGAAGAGACAGGCAGCAGGAAUCCUCUGUAAAGUUUGAACCAGCUAUGAAAACCAUCAGAUCAUAUCUACAACUACUUUUAACAACCCAAAUAUGGAUAUUUAAAGCACCAUUACUAAGGAGAUGGACCCCAGAAGGUGCGCUAGAAACAAGCUCUACUAGAUUAGACUUCAGCAAGUUAAGCGAACAAGACAGAUUCUGUCAGCCCUACUCACGGGACUUCUGAAAAGUCACUGAAUCAACACCAUCGAGGCAAUGGAGUAUCUUUUCAAGAUUCAGGAACCCUUCUACCAAAGGAGCAAUGGUCAAACCCGUCAUUAAACCUGAAACUGCAUUGCUUUUUUCUGACUGGCCUAGUUAUUUUCAUCACACUCAGAACCUAUUGUUUUAAAGAAGAAGACAAGUAUAAAUAGGAAAGCUUGGGAUAAG
This is a long non-coding RNA of Mauremys reevesii (Reeves's turtle), 462 nucleotides long. RefSeq lists it as uncharacterized. Lineage: Eukaryota; Metazoa; Chordata; Testudines; Geoemydidae. The record is from RefSeq and is a predicted model, not a curated record. The transcript has 4 exons.